Molecule: long non-coding RNA, 506 nt
Organism: Lathyrus oleraceus (garden pea)
Lineage: Eukaryota; Viridiplantae; Streptophyta; Magnoliopsida; Fabales; Fabaceae
Exons: 2
Source: RefSeq, a predicted model, not a curated record
AAAAAAUUCAUUCCAAUUUAUUCUCAUUUUAUAGGGUAAAUUAUUAAGGAAUAUGUAAAGCAUAGUAUGGAGAAGCUACCAAGAACAUUCGAAUGAGAUGAUUUGAGGAGUAAAUCACAUCCAACUUAUUCAACUAUUUUUCGGACGAAUUAAAAGAAGAUGCACAAGGAGAAAAGGCCGGAAGACAUUGCUAUAUAAGGAGACUCAAUUCUUAUUGUUUGAUAAGAUCUUUGGUGCGCAAGAGCUAGGUUCUUUGUGCUAGGGUUUAAUUCUUUUGUUUCUUGUCUUCAAAGCUAGUGUCAUAUCUGGAUUAGUAUGUAAUCUAUUGUUGCACACCUCUAUGAUUCACUAACUUGACAUCAAAGGUUUGUCUUAGUUGAGUUAUAAUUUUCAACAUUGUUCAUUGAAUUGUAAACACCAAUCAUGGGUUGUGUGAUCGAGAAGAACAUGAGUAGUUUCUCAAAUUUAUGGGCUAUCCUUAAUAGAAAGUCACUACUUAAGGAUUA